Molecule: ribosomal RNA, 440 nt
Filed under: uncultured bacterium
Lineage: Bacteria
Description: partial 16S ribosomal RNA
Rfam family: Bacterial small subunit ribosomal RNA
Source: RNAcentral
CCUACGGGAUGCUGCAGUAGGGAAUAUUGCUCCAUGGGGGAAACCCUGAAGCAGCAACGCCGCGUGGAGGAUGAAGGUUUUCGGAUUGUAAACUCCUUUUGUUAUAGAAGAUAAUGACGGUAUCUACCGAAUAAACACCGGCUAACUCCGUGCCAGCAGCCGCGGUAAUACGGAGGGUGCAAGCGUUACUCGGAAUCACUGGGCGUAAAGAGCGCGUAGGCGGGAUAGCAAGUCAGAUGUGAAAUCCUAUGGCUUAACCAUAGAACUGCAUUUGAAACUGUUAUUCUAGAGUAUGGGAGAGGUAGGUGGAAUUCUUGGUGUAGGGGUAAAAUCCGUAGAGAUCAAGAGGAAUACUCAUUGCGAAGGCGACCUACUAGAACAUAACUGACGCUGAUGCGCGAAAGCGUGGGGAGCAAACAGGAUUAGAUACCCCAGUAGUC